AAGGAUGGGUCCCCGGCCUGGUUCCCUGAUCCCAGGAGGCUGCGCCUUUCUUUUAGUCUUCGGAGCGUCUUCCUUCCAUUCUAACUGUGGAAACGGCUCACUUAAAUCCUGAAAUACUUUUAGUUUUUCAUAAAACGAAACAAAACCCGAAACACCGUUAGAUAUGUGUAUUGGAGAGUAGCGUACAUACUCCUGCAACCUCCGGAUCUCAAGGAACAAAGACAGCAGAGAGGAAGAAAUUCACUGGACUACCCCAACAGGAAGAAGAAAGAUUUCCUCCUUGCCCAGCAACAGCCCAGCCAACGAGAAACUGCCACCACUCAGCCAAUGAGAAACCGUUACCACCCUGAACUCCUGCUUUGCUUCAAUGGAAUUUUGUUCAGAGCAGCCCCCUCCAACUUCCUCCUUUCUCUCCAUGGAGUAAUGUGCCCCCAUUUUGUUCUCCAGACUCGCCCUCGGUUUACCAUAGCUUGUAUGUCCCAAAUAAAUUCCUCUGCAAUUCCCAA
Molecule: long non-coding RNA, 506 nt
Organism: Herpailurus yagouaroundi (jaguarundi)
Lineage: Eukaryota; Metazoa; Chordata; Mammalia; Carnivora; Felidae
Exons: 2
Source: RefSeq, a predicted model, not a curated record